RNAcentral lists this long non-coding RNA (1890 nucleotides) under Homo sapiens (human). RNAcentral's name for it is "HSALNT0042251". Lineage: Eukaryota; Metazoa; Chordata; Mammalia; Primates; Hominidae. The record is from RNAcentral.
UUCCAGACCCUUCUUAAAUAUUAUCGUGUAUACCAGCUUUAUUAUUUAGCUCUGCAAUACUGCUAAAUUGGUCAAUUACUUCCCUGCCUCCCCACCCUCCAACUGAAUUCUCACCACCCUUGAGGGAAAACAGUCUGGGUUCCCUGUGGAACAUCAUUUCUCAAAACUGUAUUUUGGGGCUUGCUUUCUCAUUUUUCCUUUCCAUUUCAGAUAUCCUUACUGCUGUCUUUGGGCUCUUUAAACACUGCCUUUUUUCCUUUUUCGAUCACACCCAAAAACUUUUCUCAAAAAUUACAUGUAAAUUUAAAAAUUUACAAAUUAAAUUUAAAAUUGAAAUUUUAAAAAUCCCGACUCUCCCUAAUUUCAGGAAGCAUGCAUUUAUUAUACAUAACAAGACGUGAAAGCCGCAAGAGUUUCAGCCUAAACACUGAAGACCCCGCGAAGUGAAUCCAGCUGCUGCUCUACAAGCAGCAACAACAACUGGGAAGCCUUCUCAGCUACACUUCGGGGCACUGGUCCAACCCCACGCAAAAUCCCUCGUUUCCCUUAGCGUGGUAAGACGGAGCCUGACCUGAGCUCCAACUGUCCUAUCUUUUUCAAAUGUUUCAAACUUACUGCCUUUGUUCAGCAGAACCACGGGCACGGUGAUGAUGGUGACAAGCGCAGCAGCACCCAGCAGUCCCAGAAGAACCUUCCACGGUGUCUGCAAGCCGAGCAGAUCAAGUCCAAUUAGAGGGAAGCGUGUGGCCCCAGUUUCCGUAGGAGGGUCGGGGCUGCUCCAGAGGCAGCAGGAUUUGCAGCUUUUGGGCCAUUUGGGGAGUUUGGCGAAGAGGUCCCCACAGCUCGCCCCGGGGACGUACGUGGCGCGGCACUCACCUUCAUCGUCGGCGUCUCCUCGGAAGUGAGCGUUCAGAGAAGGAGCGCAGGCAGAAGUCACCGCGGGCGGCGGAGACGCGCGUCCUGCACCGCUGCUCCGGGCGGUGGAGUCACUCGCCGCUGGAAGGAAGACUGUACACAGAGAAUAAAUAACUUGGCCAAGCCAUUCAGCUAGGAAGUUGUAGAUCCUAAAUUAAGAGUUCAAGGUCUUAAUGGCUACUCUAUGCGGCCUCUCAUAGUCUUUUCAAGGGUUUUGGAGAAGAAUAAAAGAUCAGUCAUCCACAGAUGUUUGAGUGGUUACAAUGUGCCAGCCUCCCUUCUAGGUACUGGAGAUAAAGUGGGACAAGAGAGGUGAGGUCUGGACCCUUGGCACUUUCACGAUAAAAUACACAGGUAAACAUUUGCCUUUAGGGCCCCCUGUGAUUACUUCCACUCUUGCAGAUAAGAGGAUAAGGCCUCUUCAGCUUGUUCACAGCAGCUGAAAAGCAAAGCCUCUCUGUCAGUAGAGGUAAAAGAUUAAGAAUGCAGAGUCCGAUGGGGCAUUACCACAUGAUUAUGAAUUAAUGCAAUUUUCCAUCUUUUAUUUCCAAUCCAGGCAUUGCUUUUGAACUCAGUCAUCUUUUCCCCCUUGCCCACUAGUUGCUUGUGAUACAUCAGUAUCCUCACUCACCCCCAACUCCAGAGGCUGAAACUAACUCUCCUCCUCCCUCUUCCAACUGCUGAGGAAGAUGAGUCAAUGGUGUUACUGGACCCUGUGAACUGAUGCUGUGAAGAGAGGCCAUUUAACACGGACUACGGGGAAUGGUGCCACAGGGGGCUCAGUGCUGCCCUUCACUCUCAGCAUUUUGCUCACUCAGCAUUGAUGACAGGAUGUCCCAAAAGUAACAAAAGAUGGGAGCCAGUCCUCUCAUAGCUGUUUCUUCAAUCAUCCCAUCAACAGCUCUUCAUUUAUUGAACUACCUUCCUUUUCCAAAGAGGUAAUGCUGAGAUCAGUCAGAAAGGCUUUCUGAGAAA